GAUGAACGCUAGCGGCAGGCUUAAUACAUGCAAGUCGAGGGGCAGCGGAGUAGCAAUACUGCCGGCGACCGGCGCACGGGUGCGUAACACGUGUACAACCUACCUUAAACAGGGGGAUAACCUUUCGAAAGAGAGACUAAUACCCCGUAACAUCAUGAUAGGCAUCUAUUGUGGUUGAAAGUUCCGACGGUUUAAGACGGGUACGCGUAUGAUUAGCUAGUUGGUAGUGUAACGGACUACCAAGGCGACGAUCAUUAGGGGAUCUGAGAGGACUACCCCCCCACACUGGUACUGAGACACGGACCAGACUCCUACGGGAGGCAGCAGUAAGGAAUAUUGGUCGAUGGAGGCAACUCUGAACCAGCCAUGCCGCGUGCAGGAUGACGGCCCUAUGGGUUGUAAACUGCUUUUGUACAAGAGAAAACCCCAGUACGUGUACUGGGUUGAUAGUAUUGUAAGAAUAAGCAUCGGCUAACUUCGUG
RNAcentral lists this ribosomal RNA (482 nucleotides) under uncultured bacterium. RNAcentral's name for it is "bacterial SSU rRNA". It matches the Rfam family "Bacterial small subunit ribosomal RNA", at positions 28 to 507 of the family's 1533-position model. The record is from RNAcentral.